Molecule: transfer RNA, 72 nt
Filed under: Camelus bactrianus (Bactrian camel)
Lineage: Eukaryota; Metazoa; Chordata; Mammalia; Artiodactyla; Camelidae
Also listed under: 1 other name
Rfam family: tRNA
About the family: Transfer RNA (tRNA) molecules are approximately 80 nucleotides in length. Their secondary structure includes four short double-helical elements and three loops (D, anti-codon, and T loops).
Source: Rfam by way of RNAcentral
AAGGGUCUAGCUCAGUGGUGGAGUGCACGCCUAGCACGCAUGAGGUCCUGGGUUCAAUCCCCAGCACCUCCA